GACGAACGCUGGCGGCGUGCCUAACACAUGCAAGUCGAACGGAAAGGCCCUGCUUUUGUGGGGUGCUCGAGUGGCGAACGGGUGAGUAACACGUGAGUAACCCGUCCUUGACUUUGGGAUAACUUCAGGAAACUGGGGCUAAUACCGGAUAGGAGCUCCUGCUGCAUGGUGGGGGUUGGAAAGUUUCGGCGGUUGGGGAUGGACUCGCGGCUUAUCAGCUUGUUGGUGGGGUAGUGGCUUACCAAGGCUUUGACGGGUAGCCGGCCUGAGAGGGUGACCGGCCACGUUGCGACUGGGAUACGGCCCAGACUCGUACCGGAGGCAACGGUGGAGAGUAUUGCACAGUAGGCGGGGGCCUGGUGCGACAACGCCACGUGCGGGAUGACGGCCUUCGGGUUGUAAACCGCUUUCGCCUGUGACGAGGCGUGAGUGACGGUAAUGGGUAAAGAAGCACCGGCUAACUACGUG
This 468-nucleotide ribosomal RNA is filed under the name uncultured bacterium. RNAcentral describes it as "partial 16S ribosomal RNA". It matches the Rfam family "Bacterial small subunit ribosomal RNA", at positions 28 to 507 of the family's 1533-position model. The record is from RNAcentral.